Molecule: small RNA, 104 nt
Filed under: human gut metagenome
Also listed under: 1 other name
Description: Ribosomal protein L10 leader
Rfam family: Ribosomal protein L10 leader
About the family: This family is a putative r-protein leader autoregulatory structure found in B. subtilis and other low-GC Gram-positive bacteria. It is located in the 5' untranslated regions of mRNAs encoding ribosomal proteins L10 and L12 (rplJ-rplL). A Rho-independent transcription terminator structure that is probably involved in regulation is included at the 3' end.
Source: RNAcentral
UAAUUAUUGUGUUGUGCCGUAGACAGUAGGAGCGUAAGCUUAAUUACCUACCGAGGAAAUUAAAAAGAUUUUUUAACUCCUGCGGUAAGUGGGAGUUUUAAUUU